GGGGUAUAGUUCAGUUGGUAGAACGUCUGAAUGGCAUUCAGAAGAUCAUCGGUUCGAGUCCGAUUAUCUCC
Molecule: transfer RNA, 71 nt
Filed under: pig gut metagenome
Rfam family: tRNA
About the family: Transfer RNA (tRNA) molecules are approximately 80 nucleotides in length. Their secondary structure includes four short double-helical elements and three loops (D, anti-codon, and T loops).
Source: RNAcentral